ACACUGGGACUGAGACACGGCCCAGACUCCUACGGGAGGCAGCAGUAGGGAAUCUUCCGCAAUGGACGAAAGUCUGACGGAGCAACGCCGCGUGAGUGAUGAAGGUUUUCGGAUCGUAAAGCUCUGUUGUUAGGGAAGAACAAGUGCGAGAGUAACUGCUCGCACCUUGACGGUACCUAACCAGAAAGCCACGGCUAACUACGUGCCAGCAGCCGCGGUAAUACGUAGGUGGCAAGCGUUGUCCGGAAUUAUUGGGCGUAAAGGGCUCGCAGGCGGUUUCUUAAGUCUGAUGUGAAAGCCCCCGGCUCAACCGGGGAGGGUCAUUGGAAACUGGGAAACUUGAGUGCAGAAGAGGAGAGUGGAAUUCCACGUGUAGCGGUGAAAUGCGUAGAGAUGUGGAGGAACACCAGUGGCGAAGGCGACUCUCUGGUCUGUAACUGACGCUGAGGAGCGAAAGCGUGGGGAGCGAACAGGAUUAGAUACCCUGGUAGUCCACGCCGUAAACGAUGAGUGCUAAGUGUUAGGGGGUUUCCGCCCCUUAGUGCUGCAGCUAACGCAUUAAGCACU
Molecule: ribosomal RNA, 567 nt
Filed under: Bacillus sp. BH9.21B
Lineage: Bacteria; Bacillati; Bacillota; Bacilli; Caryophanales; Bacillaceae
Description: bacterial SSU rRNA
Rfam family: Bacterial small subunit ribosomal RNA
Source: RNAcentral